Molecule: ribosomal RNA, 318 nt
Filed under: Triticum aestivum (bread wheat)
Lineage: Eukaryota; Viridiplantae; Streptophyta; Magnoliopsida; Poales; Poaceae
Description: partial small subunit ribosomal RNA
Source: RNAcentral
CUUUUCCCUCGAUCCCCCUUCUCUCCUCGAGCCCGACGCCCGCCCGCGCCCCGGGCGCCCGACGCCAACGCCGUUCGUCCUCGCCGGAGUCGCCUCACCGCCACUGUCGCCCGUCUCCGCCGUCGUCCCCGUCUUCCCCCUCAACGGACUCCUUCGCGCCUCGCUUGCCUCCGUUCGACUACGACGAUGAGCUCGAGUCGGGAAGGACUUCUCCGAGCAGAUCGAGCGCGUCUUCAUCCUUCGGUCGCCGGCGUUCUUCCUCAAAUCCGGCCACCCCUGCGCUACUAACCUUUCGUCGGGCCAUCCUGUGCCUUCCCA